GGCCCGGCAUUCGAAGGUUCGAAUCCUUCUGUCCCAG
Molecule: transfer RNA, 37 nt
Filed under: Asclepias macroura
Lineage: Eukaryota; Viridiplantae; Streptophyta; Magnoliopsida; Gentianales; Apocynaceae
Description: partial tRNA-Gln
Source: RNAcentral